RNAcentral lists this ribosomal RNA (429 nucleotides) under Bacteroidota bacterium. RNAcentral describes it as "Bacteroidetes bacterium partial 16S ribosomal RNA". It matches the Rfam family "Bacterial small subunit ribosomal RNA", at positions 355 to 776 of the family's 1533-position model. The record is from RNAcentral. Lineage: Bacteria; Pseudomonadati; Bacteroidota.
UAGGGAAUCUUCCGCAAUGGACGCAAGUCUGACGGAGCAACGCCGCGUGAGUGAAGAAGGAUUUCGGUUUGUAAAACUCUGUCGUUAGAGAAGAACAGCGCAUAGAGUAACUGUUAUGCGUGUGACGGUAUCUAACCAGAAAGCCACGUCUAACUACGUGCCAGCAGCCGCGGUAAUACGUAGGUGGCAAGCGUUGUCCGGAUUUAUUGGGCGUAAAGCGAGCGCAGGCGGUCAAUUAAGUCUGAUGUGAAAGCCCCCGGCUCAACCGGGGAGGGUCAUUGGAAACUGGUUGACUUGAGUGCAAAAGAGGAGAGUGGAAUUCCAUGUGUAGCGGUGGAAUGCGUAGAUAUAUGGAGGAACACCAGUGGCGAAGGCGACUCUCUGGUCUGUAACUGACGCUGAGGCUCGAAAGCGUAGGUAGCAAACAGG